AAAAUGACUCUCGGCAACGGAUAUCUCGGCUCUCGCAUCGAUGAAGAACGCAGCGAAAUGCGAUACUUGGUGUGAAUUGCAGAAUCCCGCGAACCAUCGAGUCUUUGAACGCAAGUUGCGCCCAAAGCCUUCCGGCCGAGGGCACGUCUGCCUGGGUGUCACGCAACAU
RNAcentral lists this ribosomal RNA (169 nucleotides) under Croton megistocarpus. Its description in RNAcentral is "5.8S ribosomal RNA". It matches the Rfam family "5.8S ribosomal RNA". Rfam says of the family: 5.8S ribosomal RNA (5.8S rRNA) is a component of the large subunit of the eukaryotic ribosome. It is transcribed by RNA polymerase I as part of the 45S precursor that also contains 18S and 28S rRNA. Functionally, it is thought that 5.8S rRNA may be involved in ribosome translocation. The record is from RNAcentral. Lineage: Eukaryota; Viridiplantae; Streptophyta; Magnoliopsida; Malpighiales; Euphorbiaceae.